GUAUAUUCAUCACAGUAAGUGGAAUAAUUUACUAUUUUGACUUCUUUCAGGUAUAUGUUCUCAUCAAGCCCAAGAAUUUGCACCAGAGCAGGAAAUAAAAUAUUUAUUCCAAAACAUGAAAAAGGAAAGAAAACAUCAGUGUGAUCAUUUUAAAAAGAAGCUUUACAAAGAUAAUAAAAGUGAGAAAGUUUUUAAUCAAUUGUCAAAAUAUAUAUAUCCAAUCUUUGAUAUUCAAGAAAAGAAUGACAAAUGUAUGGGACGUUCAAGAGCUUUAAAUAAAAUUGCAAGCAUUACUGAACACCAGAAAAUUCAUACUGGAGGGAAGUCCUACAAAUUUAAAGAAUAUGUAAAACCAUCUAAAGAUUACUCAAUCCUUUAUCAUAGCAGUGACAAACCCUACAUAUGUAAAGAAUGUGGUAAAGGUUUUACUCAACCUUCAACCCUUA
RNAcentral lists this long non-coding RNA (446 nucleotides) under Ictidomys tridecemlineatus (thirteen-lined ground squirrel). RNAcentral's name for it is "lncRNA (ENSSTOG00000030494.1)". The record is from RNAcentral. Lineage: Eukaryota; Metazoa; Chordata; Mammalia; Rodentia; Sciuridae.